GUGCUUGCUUUAGCAGCACCUACACUAAAAGUGGAAUGAUACAGAAAAUAUUAGCAUGGCCCCUUCACCAAAGAUGACAGGCAAAUUUGUAAAGUAUACCAGAUCUUU
Molecule: small nuclear RNA, 108 nt
Organism: Onychomys torridus (southern grasshopper mouse)
Lineage: Eukaryota; Metazoa; Chordata; Mammalia; Rodentia; Cricetidae
Source: RefSeq, a predicted model, not a curated record